Molecule: long non-coding RNA, 371 nt
Organism: Alexandromys fortis (reed vole)
Lineage: Eukaryota; Metazoa; Chordata; Mammalia; Rodentia; Cricetidae
Exons: 3
Source: RefSeq, a predicted model, not a curated record
GUCACAGAACAAACAAAACACAGUGCACAAGAAAGGAAGGCAGAAUAAUUCUGGUUCUCCAGCAAGAACAGCCCAGCAGGGGACAUAUACUCAGGGAAAGUCCUGGACACUCUUCAAGUGGCACACUGUUCUUGAGUGUCUUCAUGUCCUGGUAGUGCCAAGGAAAGAACCUCGUUCAUGGAAGAGAUGCCAACAAAGCUACCAUAAGAAGAUAACCCCAAUAAAGAUGAUAUUCUCUGUACGGGACUCCGGUUGAAUGAUCUGUCCAGUCCCUUUAAGAGACAAGCCACACCCACUCCCUCCCCUGUCUGCUGAGACAAGCUGAUCUUCAGCUUCCAGCAUGAGUCUUUUCCUUUUCUGUUUCUUUCUUG